This 253-nucleotide ribosomal RNA is filed under the name uncultured bacterium. Its description in RNAcentral is "partial 16S ribosomal RNA". It matches the Rfam family "Bacterial small subunit ribosomal RNA", at positions 524 to 776 of the family's 1533-position model. The record is from RNAcentral.
UACGUAGGGGGCGAGCGUUGUCCGGAAUUAUUGGGCGUAAAGAGCGUGUAGGCGGUUCGGUAAGUCUACUGUGAAAUCCUGGGGCUCAACCCUGGGCGUGCAGUGGAUACUGCCGGGCUAGAGGGUGGUAGAGGCGAGUGGCAUUCCGAGUGUAGCGGUGAAAUGCGCAGAUAUUCGGAGGAACACCAGUAGCGAAGGCGGCUCGCUGGGCCACCCCUGACGCUGAGACGCGAAAGCGUGGGGAGCGAACAGG